AGGCUUAAUACAUGCAAGUCGUGGGGCAGCACAGGUAGCAAUACUGGGUGGCGACCGGCAAACGGGUGCGGAACACGUACGCAACCUUCCUUUAAGUGGGGGAUAGCCCAGAGAAAUUUGGAUUAAUACCCCGUAAUAUUAUAGAGUGGCAUCACUUUAUGAUUAUAGCUUCGGCGCUUAAAGAUGGGCGUGCGGCUGAUUAGGUAGUUGGCGGGGUAACGGCCCACCAAGCCUUCGAUCAGUAACUGGUGUGAGAGCACGACCAGUCACACGGGCACUGAGACACGGGCCCG
This 293-nucleotide ribosomal RNA is filed under the name uncultured bacterium. Its description in RNAcentral is "partial 16S ribosomal RNA". It matches the Rfam family "Bacterial small subunit ribosomal RNA", at positions 46 to 334 of the family's 1533-position model. The record is from RNAcentral.